GAUGAAGAACGUAGCGAAAUGCGAUAAGUAAUGUGAAUUGCAGAAUUCAGUGAAUCAUCGAAUCUUUGAACGCACAUUGCGCCCCCUGGUAUUCCGGGGGGCAUGCCUGUUCGAGCGUCAUUUCACCACUCAAGCCUCGCUUGGUAUUGGGCAACGCGGUCCGCCGCGUGCCUCAAAUCGACCGGCUGGGUCUUCUGUCCCCUAAGCGUUGAGGAAACUAUUCGCUAAAGGGUGUUCGGGAGGCUACGCCGUAAAACAACCCCAUUUCUAAGGUUGACCUCGGAUCAGGUAGGGAUACCCGCUGAACUUAAGCAUAUCAAUAAGCGGAGGA
RNAcentral lists this unclassified non-coding RNA (331 nucleotides) under soil metagenome. RNAcentral's name for it is "partial contains 5.8S ribosomal RNA, internal transcribed spacer 2, and large subunit ribosomal RNA". The stretch from base 1 to 120 matches the Rfam family "5.8S ribosomal RNA", at positions 35 to 154 of the family's 154-position model. The record is from RNAcentral.